This 488-nucleotide ribosomal RNA is filed under the name Ocimum basilicum (sweet basil). Its description in RNAcentral is "eukaryotic LSU rRNA". The stretch from base 326 to 488 matches the Rfam family "Eukaryotic large subunit ribosomal RNA", at positions 1 to 163 of the family's 3401-position model. The record is from RNAcentral. Lineage: Eukaryota; Viridiplantae; Streptophyta; Magnoliopsida; Lamiales; Lamiaceae.
AUACUUGGUGUGAAUUGCAGAAUCCCGUGAACCAUCGAGUCUUUGAACGCAAGUUGCGCCCGAAGCCAUUAGGCCGAGGGCACGUCUGCCUGGGCGUCACGCAUCGCGUCGCCCCCCUCCCCGCGCGCCGCGCUCGGGACGGGGGGCGGAUGUUGGCCUCCCGUGCGCCCCGCCGCGCGGCCGGCCCAAACCCGAUCCCCCGGCGACCCGCGUCGCGACAAGUGGUGGUUGAACGUCUCAAUCUCGCGUCUCGUCGCUCGCGGGCCGUCCGCGCGGGCUCCGAAGAGGACCCAACGGCGCGGCCAAGCCGCCGCUCCCUCGACCGCGACCCCAGGUCAGGCGGGAUCACCCGCUGAGUUUAAGCAUAUCAAUAAGCGGAGGAGAAGAAACUUACAAGGAUUCCCCUAGUAACGGCGAGCGAACCGGGAAGAGCCCAACUUGAGAAUCGGGCGGCCGCGCCGUCCGAAUUGUAGUCUGGAGAAGCGUCA